RNAcentral lists this ribosomal RNA (523 nucleotides) under Sphingomonas sp. BAC14P. RNAcentral's name for it is "bacterial SSU rRNA". It matches the Rfam family "Bacterial small subunit ribosomal RNA", at positions 971 to 1488 of the family's 1533-position model. The record is from RNAcentral. Lineage: Bacteria; Pseudomonadati; Pseudomonadota; Alphaproteobacteria; Sphingomonadales; Sphingomonadaceae.
UUACCAGCGUUUGACAUCCUAAUCGCGGAUUCCAGAGAUGGAUUCCUUCAGUUCGGCUGGAUUAGUGACAGGUGCUGCAUGGCUGUCGUCAGCUCGUGUCGUGAGAUGUUGGGUUAAGUCCCGCAACGAGCGCAACCCUCGUCCUUAGUUGCCAUCAUUCAGUUGGGCACUCUAAGGAAACUGCCGGUGAUAAGCCGGAGAAAGGUGGGGAUGACGUCAAGUCCUCAUGGCCCUUACACGCUGGGCUACACACGUGCUACAAUGGCGGUGACAGUGGGCAGCAACCGGGCGACCGGUAGCUAAUCUCCAAAAACCGUCUCAGUUCGGAUUGUUCUCUGCAACUCGAGAGCAUGAAGGCGGAAUCGCUAGUAAUCGCGGAUCAGCAUGCCGCGAUGAAUACGUUCCCAGGCCUUGUACACACCGCCCGUCACACCAUGGGAGUUGGAUUCACCCGAAGGCGUUGCGCUAACCUAGCAAUAGGAGGCAGGCGACCACGGUGGGAUUAGCGACUGGGGUGAAGUCG